GAAUCCGAGGCGCAAUGGGUGCGCGUCUGACUUGGAAUCAGAAGGUUGCAGGUUCGAUUCCUGCCGGGUUCA
Erigeron canadensis is the source of this 72-nucleotide non-coding RNA. The record is from the annotation of a RefSeq genome assembly. NCBI's taxonomy places the organism in Eukaryota, Viridiplantae, Streptophyta, Magnoliopsida, Asterales, Asteraceae.